RNAcentral lists this ribosomal RNA (496 nucleotides) under uncultured bacterium. Its description in RNAcentral is "partial 16S ribosomal RNA". It matches the Rfam family "Bacterial small subunit ribosomal RNA", at positions 28 to 506 of the family's 1533-position model. The record is from RNAcentral.
GAUGAACGCUGGCGGCGUGCCUAAUACAUGCAAGUCGAGCGAACAGACGAGGAGCUUGCUCCUCUGACGUUAGCGGCGGACGGGUGAGUAACACGUGGAUAACCUACCUAUAAGACUGUGAUAACUUCGGGAAACCGGAGCUAAUACCGGAUAAUAUAUUGAACCGCAUGGUUCAAUAGUGAAAGACGGUUUUGCUGUCACUUAUAGAUUGAUCCGCGCCGCAUUAGCUAGUUGGUAAGGUAACGGCUUACCAAGGCGACGAUGCGUAGCCGACCUGAGAGGGUGAUCGGCCACACUGGAACUGAGACACGGUCCAGACUCCUACGGGAGGCAGCAGUAGGGAAUCUUCCGCAAUGGGCGAAAGCCUGACGGAGCAACGCCGCGUGAGUGAUGAAGGUCUUCGGAUCGUAAAACUCUGUUAUUAGGGAAGAACAAAUGUGUAAGUAACUAUGCACGUCUUGACGGUACCUAAUCAGAAAGCCACGGCUAACUACGU